GUCUUCGUGGUGUAGUGGUCAGCACGCUCGACGCGUAACCGAGAGGUCCGUGGUUCGAACCCCGGUGAAGGCG
Molecule: transfer RNA, 73 nt
Filed under: Stegodyphus mimosarum
Lineage: Eukaryota; Metazoa; Arthropoda; Arachnida; Araneae; Eresidae
Rfam family: tRNA
About the family: Transfer RNA (tRNA) molecules are approximately 80 nucleotides in length. Their secondary structure includes four short double-helical elements and three loops (D, anti-codon, and T loops).
Source: Rfam by way of RNAcentral